GAAAAUCAAAACAUAAACGGAAAAUCAACAACAUAAGGUAGCAUACAAACGUGGAUAUUUCGGAUCAAUUUCAAUCCAGUCGAACAUUUUUCUCACAUCUUCAUCAUCUUUCAACUCUUUCUAUUCGUAUUUCCGUGGUGCAUCAUCAUAUCCUCCAACAUGGUCAGCUGCCAGAUCGAUAUAUGACUCAUAAUACGCUAGUUUGUCUAUUUUGAUUUGUCUAGCGUAUUUGAAGCGAU
Molecule: long non-coding RNA, 239 nt
Filed under: Trifolium pratense (red clover)
Lineage: Eukaryota; Viridiplantae; Streptophyta; Magnoliopsida; Fabales; Fabaceae
Description: long non-coding RNA (TPRA_LNC011174)
Source: RNAcentral